Molecule: non-coding RNA, 125 nt
Organism: Triticum aestivum (bread wheat)
Lineage: Eukaryota; Viridiplantae; Streptophyta; Magnoliopsida; Poales; Poaceae
Source: Rfam
UAAAUACUCCCUCCGUCCGGAAAUACUUGUCGGAGAAAUGAAUGUAUCUAGACGUAUGUUAGUUAUAGAUACAUCCAAUUUUAUCCAUCUUUUCGACGAGUAUUUCCGGACGGAGGGAGUAUUUG